Molecule: ribosomal RNA, 305 nt
Filed under: uncultured bacterium
Lineage: Bacteria
Description: bacterial SSU rRNA
Rfam family: Bacterial small subunit ribosomal RNA
Source: RNAcentral
GUCACCCUACGGGGCGCAGCAGUGAGGAAUAUUGGUCAAUGGCCGCAGGGCUGAACCAGCCAAGUCGCGUGAGGGAAGACGGCCCUACGGGUUGUAAACCUCUUUUGCCGGGGAGCAAGCCUGAGCACGUGUGCCCAGGCGGAGAGUACCCGGAGAAAAAGCAUCGGCUAACUCCGUGCCAGCAGCCGCGGUAAUACGGAGGAUGCGAGCGUUAUCCGGAUUUAUUGGGUUUAAAGGGUGCGCAGGCGGGCUGUUAAGCCGGCGGUAAAAGCCCGGGGCUCAACCCCGGCGAGCCGUUGAAACUG